CCUACGGGUGGCAGCAGUGGGGGAUAUUGCACAAUGGGGGAAACCCUGAUGCAGCGACGCCGCGUGAGUGAAGAAGUAUUUCGGUAUGUAAAGCCCUAUCAGCCGGGAAGAAAAUGACAGUACCCGACCAAGAAGCCCCGGGUAACUACGUGCCAGCAGCCGCGGGAACACGUAGGGGGCAAGCGUUAUUCGGAUUUACUGGGUGUAAAGGGGGCGUAGACGGUUAUGUAAGUCUGGAGUGAAAGCCCGGGGCCCAACCCCGGGACUGCUUUGGAAACUGUGGGACUUGAGUACAGGAGAGGCAGGCGGAAUGCGUGGUGUAGCGGUGAAAUGCGUAGAUAUCAGGCAGAACACCGACGGCGAAGGCGACCUGCUAGAGCAUAACUGACGCUGAUGCGCGAAAGCGUGGGGAGCAAACAGGAGUAGAUACCCUUGUAGUC
RNAcentral lists this ribosomal RNA (440 nucleotides) under uncultured bacterium. Its description in RNAcentral is "partial 16S ribosomal RNA". It matches the Rfam family "Bacterial small subunit ribosomal RNA", at positions 338 to 795 of the family's 1533-position model. The record is from RNAcentral.